CAGUAGCCGCGGUAAUACGGAGGGGGCUAGCGUUGUUCGGAAUUACUGGGCGUAAAGCGCACGUAGGCGGCUUGGUAAGUUAGAGGUGAAAGCCCGGAGCUCAACCCCGGAAUUGCCUUUAAGACUGCCGAGCUAGUAGGUGAGAGAGGUAAGUGGAAUUCCGAGUGUAGAGGUGAAAUCCGUAGAUAUUCGGAAGAACACCAGUGGCGAAGGCGGCUUACUGGCUCAUUCUAGACGCUGAGGUGCGAAAGCGUGGGGAGCAAACAGGAUUAGAUACCCGUGUAGUCCCUGUCUCUUAUAC
This 301-nucleotide ribosomal RNA is filed under the name uncultured bacterium. RNAcentral's name for it is "partial 16S ribosomal RNA". It matches the Rfam family "Bacterial small subunit ribosomal RNA", at positions 509 to 807 of the family's 1533-position model. The record is from RNAcentral.